This 406-nucleotide ribosomal RNA is filed under the name uncultured Christensenellaceae bacterium. RNAcentral describes it as "bacterial SSU rRNA". It matches the Rfam family "Bacterial small subunit ribosomal RNA", at positions 355 to 776 of the family's 1533-position model. The record is from RNAcentral. Lineage: Bacteria; Bacillati; Bacillota; Clostridia; Christensenellales; Christensenellaceae.
UGGGGAAUAUUGGGCAAUGGGGGAAACCCUGACCCAGCGACGCCGCGUGAGGGAAGAAGGUUCUCGGAUUGUAAACCUCUGUUCUUGGUGAAGAGAAGAAGACGGUAGCCAAGGAGGAAGCCCCGGCUAACUACGUGCCAGCAGCCGCGGUAAUACGUAGGGGGCGAGCGUUGUCCGGAAUGAUUGGGCGUAAAGGGCGCGUAGGCGGCUGAUUAAGUCUGGAGUGGAAGUCCUAUUUUUAAGGUAGGAAUUGCUUUGGAAACUGAUCAGCUUGAGUGCAGGAGAGGUUAUCGGAAUUCCCGGUGUAGCGGUGAAAUGCGUAGAGAUCGGGAGGAACACCAGUGGCGAAGGCGGGUAACUGGACUGCAACUGACGCUGAGGCGCGAAAGUGUGGGGAGCAAACAGG